UACAGAGGGGGCAAGCGUUGUUCGGAAUUACUGGGCGUAAAGGGCGCGUAGGUGGCCUUCUAAGUCGAACGUGAAAUCCCUGGGCUCAACCCAGGAACUGCGUCCGAUACUGGAAGGCUUGAAUCCGGGAGAGGGAUGUGGAAUUCCAGGUGUAGCGGUGAAAUGCGUAGAUAUCUGGAGGAACACCGGUGGCGAAGGCGGCAUCCUGGACCGGUAUUGACACUGAGGCGCGAAAGCCAGGGGAGCAAACGGG
This 253-nucleotide ribosomal RNA is filed under the name uncultured bacterium. RNAcentral describes it as "partial 16S ribosomal RNA". It matches the Rfam family "Bacterial small subunit ribosomal RNA", at positions 524 to 776 of the family's 1533-position model. The record is from RNAcentral.